UACGUAGGGUCCGAGCGUUGUCCGGAAUUACUGGGCGUAAAGAGCUCGUAGGUGGUUUGUCGCGUUGUUCGUGAAAACUCACAGCUUAACUGUGGGCGUGCGGGCGAUACGGGCAGACUUGAGUACUGCAGGGGAGACUGGAAUUCCUGGUGUAGCGGUGAAAUGCGCAGAUAUCAGGAGGAACACCGGCGGCGAAGGCGGGUCUCUGGGCCGUAACUGACACUGAGGAGCGAAAGCGUGGGGAGCGAACAGG
Molecule: ribosomal RNA, 253 nt
Filed under: uncultured bacterium
Lineage: Bacteria
Description: partial 16S ribosomal RNA
Rfam family: Bacterial small subunit ribosomal RNA
Source: RNAcentral